This 222-nucleotide ribosomal RNA is filed under the name uncultured bacterium. Its description in RNAcentral is "partial 16S ribosomal RNA". It matches the Rfam family "Bacterial small subunit ribosomal RNA", at positions 57 to 305 of the family's 1533-position model. The record is from RNAcentral.
GCAAGUCGAGCGCUUCCCUUCGGGGAGGAGCGGCGGACGGGUUAGUAACGCGUGGGAACGUACCCUUUACUUCGGAAUAGCCACUGGAAACGGUGAGUAAUACCGGAUGCGCCCUUAGGGGGAAAGAUUUAUCGGUAAAGGAUCGGCCCGCGUUAGAUUAGGUAGUUGGUGGGGUAAUGGCCUACCAAGCCUACGAUCUAUAGCUGGUUUGAGAGGAUGAUC